Molecule: ribosomal RNA, 1388 nt
Filed under: Vibrio sp. RW50
Lineage: Bacteria; Pseudomonadati; Pseudomonadota; Gammaproteobacteria; Vibrionales; Vibrionaceae
Description: bacterial SSU rRNA
Rfam family: Bacterial small subunit ribosomal RNA
Source: RNAcentral
CUCAGAUUGAACGCUGGCGGCAGGCCUAACACAUGCAAGUCGAGCGGAAACGAGUUAUCUGAACCUUCGGGGAACGUUAACGGCGUCGAGCGGCGGACGGGUGAGUAAUGCCUAGGAAAUUGCCCUGAUGUGGGGGAUAACCAUUGGAAACGAUGGCUAAUACCGCAUGAUGCCUACGGGCCAAAGAGGGGGACCUUCGGGCCUCUCGCGUCAGGAUAUGCCUAGGUGGGAUUAGCUAGUUGGUGAGGUAAGGGCUCACCAAGGCGACGAUCCCUAGCUGGUCUGAGAGGAUGAUCAGCCACACUGGAACUGAGACACGGUCCAGACUCCUACGGGAGGCAGCAGUGGGGAAUAUUGCACAAUGGGCGCAAGCCUGAUGCAGCCAUGCCGCGUGUGUGAAGAAGGCCUUCGGGUUGUAAAGCACUUUCAGUCGUGAGGAAGGUAGUGUGUUUAAUAGAUGCAUUAUUUGACGUUAGCGACAGAAGAAGCACCGGCUAACUCCGUGCCAGCAGCCGCGGUAAUACGGAGGGUGCGAGCGUUAAUCGGAAUUACUGGGCGUAAAGCGCAUGCAGGUGGUUUGUUAAGUCAGAUGUGAAAGCCCGGGGCUCAACCUCGGAAUAGCAUUUGAAACUGGCAGACUAGAGUACUGUAGAGGGGGGUAGAAUUUCAGGUGUAGCGGUGAAAUGCGUAGAGAUCUGAAGGAAUACCGGUGGCGAAGGCGGCCCCCUGGACAGAUACUGACACUCAGAUGCGAAAGCGUGGGGAGCAAACAGGAUUAGAUACCCUGGUAGUCCACGCCGUAAACGAUGUCUACUUGGAGGUUGUGGCCUUGAGCCGUGGCUUUCGGAGCUAACGCGUUAAGUAGACCGCCUGGGGAGUACGGUCGCAAGAUUAAAACUCAAAUGAAUUGACGGGGGCCCGCACAAGCGGUGGAGCAUGUGGUUUAAUUCGAUGCAACGCGAAGAACCUUACCUACUCUUGACAUCCAGAGAACUUUCCAGAGAUGGAUUGGUGCCUUCGGGAACUCUGAGACAGGUGCUGCAUGGCUGUCGUCAGCUCGUGUUGUGAAAUGUUGGGUUAAGUCCCGCAACGAGCGCAACCCUUAUCCUUGUUUGCCAGCGAGUAAUGUCGGGAACUCCAGGGAGACUGCCGGUGAUAAACCGGAGGAAGGUGGGGACGACGUCAAGUCAUCAUGGCCCUUACGAGUAGGGCUACACACGUGCUACAAUGGCGCAUACAGAGGGCGGCCAACUUGCGAAAGUGAGCGAAUCCCAAAAAGUGCGUCGUAGUCCGGAUUGGAGUCUGCAACUCGACUCCAUGAAGUCGGAAUCGCUAGUAAUCGUGGAUCAGAAUGCCACGGUGAAUACGUUCCCGGGCCUUGUACACAC